AGAGUUUGAUCCUGGCUCAGAUUGAACGCUGGCGGCAGGCCUAACACAUGCAAGUCGAGCGGCAGCGGGAAAGUAGCUUGCUACUUUUGCCGGCGAGCGGCGGACGGGUGAGUAAUGCCUGGGGAUCUGCCCAGUCGAGGGGGAUAACAGUUGGAAACGACUGCUAAUACCGCAUACGCCCUACGGGGGAAAGGAGGGGACCUUCGGGCCUUUCGCGAUUGGAUGAACCCAGGUGGGAUUAGCUAGUUGGUGGGGUAAUGGCUCACCAAGGCGACGAUCCCUAGCUGGUCUGAGAGGAUGAUCAGCCACACUGGAACUGAGACACGGUCCAGACUCCUACGGGAGGCAGCAGUGGGGAAUAUUGCACAAUGGGGGAAACCCUGAUGCAGCCAUGCCGCGUGUGUGAAGAAGGCCUUCGGGUUGUAAAGCACUUUCAGCGAGGAGGAAAGGUUGGCAGCUAAUAUCUGUCAGCUGUGACGUUACUCGCAGAAGAAGCACCGGCUAACUCCGUGCCAGCAGCCGCG
This 524-nucleotide ribosomal RNA is filed under the name uncultured bacterium. Its description in RNAcentral is "bacterial SSU rRNA". It matches the Rfam family "Bacterial small subunit ribosomal RNA", at positions 8 to 519 of the family's 1533-position model. The record is from RNAcentral.